RNAcentral lists this ribosomal RNA (254 nucleotides) under uncultured bacterium. Its description in RNAcentral is "partial 16S ribosomal RNA". It matches the Rfam family "Bacterial small subunit ribosomal RNA", at positions 524 to 776 of the family's 1533-position model. The record is from RNAcentral.
UACGUAGGGACCGAGCGUUGUCCGGAAUCAUUGGGCGUAAAGAGCGUGUAGGCGGCCAACUAAGUCCUGCGUGAAAUCUCGGGGCUCAACCCCGAGCGGUCGUGGGAAACUGGUUGGCUAGAGUGCGGGAGAGGAGAGUGGAAUUCCUGGUGUAGCGGUGAAAUGCGCAGAUAUCAGGAAGAACACCCGUGGCGAAGGCGGCUCUCUGGAACGCAACUGACGCUGAGACGCGAAAAGCGUGGGGAGCAAACAGG